GAUUGAACGCUGGCGGCAGGCCUAACACAUGCAAGUCGAACGGUAACAGGAAACAGCUUGCUGUUUCGCUGACGAGUGGCGGACGGGUGAGUAAUGUCUGGGAAACUGCCUGAUGGAGGGGGAUAACUACUGGAAACGGUAGCUAAUACCGCAUAACGUCGCAAGACCAAAGAGGGGGACCUUCGGGCCUCUUGCCAUCGGAUGUGCCCAGAUGGGAUUAGCUAGUAGGUGGGGUAACGGCUCACCUAGGCGACGAUCCCUAGCUGGUCUGAGAGGAUGACCAGCCACACUGGAACUGAGACACGGUCCAGACUCCUACGGGAGGCAGCAGUGGGGAAUAUUGCACAAUGGGCGCAAGCCUGAUGCAGCCAUGCCGCGUGUAUGAAGAAGGCCUUCGGGUUGUAAAGUACUUUCAGCGGGGAUGAAGGGAGUAAAGUUAAUACCUUUGCUCAUUGACGUUACCCGCAGAAGAAGCACCGGCUAACUCCGUGCCAGCAGCCGCGGUAAUACGGAGGGUGCAAGCGUUAAUCGGAAUUACUGGGCGUAAAGCGCACGCAGGCGGUUUGUUAAGUCAGAUGUGAAAUCCCCGGGCUCAACCUGGGAACUGCAUCUGAUACUGGCAAGCUUGAGUCUCGUAGAGGGGGGUAGAAUUCCAGGU
Molecule: ribosomal RNA, 658 nt
Filed under: uncultured bacterium
Lineage: Bacteria
Description: bacterial SSU rRNA
Rfam family: Bacterial small subunit ribosomal RNA
Source: RNAcentral